RNAcentral lists this ribosomal RNA (777 nucleotides) under uncultured Neocallimastigales. RNAcentral's name for it is "partial large subunit ribosomal RNA". It matches the Rfam family "Eukaryotic large subunit ribosomal RNA", at positions 23 to 620 of the family's 3401-position model. The record is from RNAcentral. Lineage: Eukaryota; Fungi; Neocallimastigomycota; Neocallimastigomycetes; Neocallimastigales.
AGAGAGAGACAUGCGCGCAUAUCAAUAAGCGGAGGAAAAGAAACUAACAAGGAUUCCCUUAGUAACGGCGAGUGAAGCGGGAAGAGCUCAAAUUUGAAAUCUUCAAGGUUUUACCUUGACGAAUUGUAGUUUAAAGAAGUGUUUUCUGCUGAAGUUUUGGUAAAAGUUCUUUGGAAUAGGACAUCAUAGAGGGUGAGAAUCCCGUAUUUGACCAUUAUUUUCAGCUUUGUGAUACACUUUCAAAGAGUCGGAUUGUUUGGGAAUGCAGUCCAAAAUGGGUGGUAAAUUUCAUCUAAAGCUAAAUAUUGGCGAGAGACCGAUAGCGAACAAGUACCGUGAGGGAAAGAUGAAAAGAACUUUGAAAAGAGAGUUAAACAGUACGUGAAAUUGUCAAAAGGGAAGCGUUUGACACCAGUGUUGUUUUCUCGAAAAUCAAUUAAAAAUGGCUCGAUUUUGUAUUGCUUGAGACCUUAAAAGCUCACUGUACAUUUUUCGUGUCUUUUUUCAAUGCACUUUUCGUUUAACAAGUCUAACAUCAGUUUCUUUUGUUGUAAAAGGGUCAUUGGAAGGUGGCUUUCUUUUCGGAGAAAGUGUUUAUAGCCUUUGGCCUCUGCAAUCGAAGAGACUGAGGUCUGCAGCGUAGACUCUUCGGGGUUAGAUACAUUUGUGCUAAGUUAUAGCUUUUUAUAGACAACUUGUUGACUAUAAUUAGUCUUGUAGCUUACUCGCUUAUGCUAUUUUACCUACGCUUAGGAUGUUGAAGAUGUAGCACAUCAU